UCGACAAAAUAUAGCAUCGAAACGGGUGCAAAUAUAGAAGCAAUUUCGUCCAACCCGACUUUUACCCCGCAAACGGAAAAAACCAGUCGAGAGGGAGGAAGAGAAACACACACAGUGACACACAGAAUGAUGAAGGAAGAAGCCAUAAGCUCCUCCGGCGAUCCUCUGCUGCCACCCAAGUCUUCCUCUCCUCCGCCUACCCCCACUCCCGCUGCUAGUUCUGCAGGGGCAUCUUCUCCUACUGUUCCAGUAAAUGUUGGCAGCACAGACUGGGCAGCACAGGGCUCAAAAGCAGGCUCUGUUUCCCGUGUUGGGUUACAGCGCAUAGGGACUUCUUUGAGUACCAGUGCUGGUGGUUCUGCUCUUGGAUCAUCACAGCCUUCGUGUAGACCCUGGGAAAGGGGUGAUCUAUUGAGACGGCUCUCAACAUUCAAACCCACAGACUGGCUUGGAAAGCCUAAGGCUGCAGGUUCUAUGGCUUGUGCCAGAAGGGGCUGGAUAAAUGUGGAUGCUGAUAAGAUUGAAUGCGAGUCAUGUGGUGCAAAUCUCAAAUUUAUUUCCUCAGCUACCUGGACUCCUUCUGAAGCUGAUGUUGCUGGUGAAGAUUUUGCAAAAAAACUUGAUGAAGGGCAUAAAAUCACUUGUCCAUGGAGGGGAAAUAGCUGUGCAGAAAGCUUGGUCCAGUUCCCCCCUACUCCACCUUCUGCCCUAAUUGGUGGUUAUAAGGAUCGUGCUGAUGGAUUACUUCAGUUCCCUUCCCUCCCUAUUGUGGCUGCAUCUGCAAUUGAGCAUAUGCGAGUUUCUAGAGGUUCAGAAAUUGAUUCUUUUCUAGCUCAAUCACAGGGUUUUGGAGGUGUUGAACCUUUCUUUAGGCCAGAGGUUAUGUCUGGAGCUGAGAACACCAGAGAAGAUGCUUUCUUUAUAUACUCUCGUGCUCAGAAGCUGAUAAGCCUUUGUGGAUGGGAGCCAAGGUGGCUUCGAAAUGUCCAAGACUGUGAAGAAUACUCAGCUCAGUCGGCUAGGAAUGGAUGUUCAACAAGUCCGACAAAAAAUCAUGGUCCUCCACAAGAUCUUGGCCGUGGCAAGAAGGUACUGUCUUGUUCAAAGAAAAGGGAUACUGUUAAAAAUGAAGUUGUGUGCCCCAUGUCAAAAGGUGAAUCUAGGUCACCUUUGUUGGAUUGUAGUUUGUGUGGAGCUACAGUGAGAAUCUUGGACUUCCUUACUGUUACUCGUCCUGCUUGCUUUGCUCCCAAUAGCAUUGAUAUCCCUGAAACAAGCAAAAAGAUGGCAUUAACACGAGGAGUAAGUGCUGCCAGUGGAAUAAGUGGGUGGGUUGCUACUGAUGGUAUGGAAAAGGAGCAGACAGAGGACCAUGAUGAAGCAGCAACAGAUGAGGGAAGGUCAUUGUCGAAUAAUGGUGUGGAUCUGAAUCUUACAAUGGCAGGUGGGCUGUCCUGCUCACAACUACGCAAGAGUUUAGGUCCUGACCAGUUUCAAGAUGUGCAUAAGAGAAGAGAUCCAAUGAUUGGACAGCCUUCUAGCAGUGAGGUUGGUGACCGUGCGGCUUCAUACGAGUCUCGUGGUCCUAGUUCUAACAAGCGUCAUUUAGAGGAACAUGGAAGCACUGCUGACAGGCCACAAUUGGUAGUACAACAAGCGGACAGCGUUGAGGGAACUGUAAUAGACCGUGAUGGAGAUGAAGUCAAUGAUGACAGUCAGUACUCAGCUGGUCCUUCAAAACGCCCCCGUGAGUCAGAUCCUCUAGAAAUUCAUCACUCAUCAUAUGGGAAAAAUGCAGCUGGUGCUGGUCCUAGCUUGUCACUUGGUAUUGAGGUUGGAACAGAUGGCCAAAGAGAUGAUCCUUUCAACCAAGGUCAUGAACAGGUGAUUGGUUUCCCAGCUACAAGAGAUUCAACACAUGUUUCAUCUGUUAUUGCUAUGGACACAUUUCAUUGUGCAGAUGAUGAUUCAAUGGAAAGUGUUGAAAAUUAUCCAGCAGAUGUUGGUGAUAUUGAAUUCCCUUCAACAUCAGGUGUAAAAAGCACGGAUCCAUUUGAGGUGUCUGAGUUAAACUAUAGCAAUCAAGCACAGCAGAGUGCUUGUCCUGCUGCUAUUAGGAGUGCUGGUGAAAUUGGUGUUAGUAGCACAAAUGAUGAGGAAGUUUUAAAUGCAGAUACUGCAACUGCUCAUGCUAGGGACGGCCUUAGUUUUGGGAUUAGUGGAGGAAGUAUAGGAAUGGGAGCUAGCCAUGAAGCUGAAAUUCAUGGGAUGGAUGCUUCUGUGCAUAGAGCUGAUAGUGUUGUUGGUGAUGUGGAACCAAUUGCUGAAAUCACUGAAAACGAAGGUCAAACCGGUGAAUUUGGUCCUGAUCCUGGACUGAUGGGUGACUAUGUUCCAGAGGAAAUGGACCGGGAGGAUCCUAAUGGUGAUAGUCAAGAUCUAACAUCUCGCUCUGUGGGAAGAGCUGAUAGUGGUUCAAAAAUUCUUGGCUCAGCCAAGGCAGAAUCCAUCGAAAGUGCUGAGAAGACCAGCCAUGGUCCCUCUACACCCAAUAAUAGUGCACAUCCCUCUCUUUCUUGCAAUGCUAUUUUAUUGUCUGUGCAUGAGGCAUCAAAGGAAGAAGUUACCCAGGAUGCCCAGGUUGCCCAGGUUGCCAAUGCACUGACUACUGAAGAUGGUGGAUAUGUGGUGGAGUCAGGCUUCUUGGUUGCAAAGGGGACAGAAAGUGUUCUUCAGGGCCUUCCAAUGGGGAAAGUGGUUAUAAAGAAGCUGUUGAGUUUGACCCAGUUAACCAUCAUAACCCUUUCUGCCCUUGGGUCAAUGGAAAUGUUGCUGCAGCUGGCUGCACCAGUAGUAGUGGUUCCAGUUCCAGUGCUGGUGCUCUUGCUCUUUGUGGUUGGCAGCUAACUUUAGAUGCUUUGGAUUCUUUGUCGCUUGGAAAUGUUCCAAUCCAAACUGUGGAGUCCGAAUCAGCUGCUUCUUUGUAUAAGGAUGAUCAUCGAUCUGCUGGUCGGAAACUCUUGGCACGAAACUCAUUUAGCAAAAGUCGUGGAGGGAAUUAACAGUGAAUUAUAAGGUUUUAUAGGUCUAUAAUGCAAGCUGCCCAAUCAAGUGGUCUCAGUUUGUGUGAGAUCCUGAAUUGUUGAACCAUUUGAUGAUUCCUUGAGAUGUUCCAUUGAGCCAGAAGACUUUUCUUUUACUUAAAAUAUUGUUUCGGUUAUAGCUUCGCUUAUGAAGCUGUUUUGUGUUAGCUGUUAUGUUUCUGGAGAUGCCAAGGUAUUUGUGGGUGUAACUCUUAUUCACCGCAAUUCCUUGCUCUUGCUUUUCUUGUUUUUACAGUAUAAAUGAUAAUAAGACCUUGUAGUAUGGCAAUGCCAAUUUAGCUAUGUUCUAGCUAGUGAGUUGGAAAUUGUCUACAAGACCAAUCUGUAUUUAUUUGCUUAUUAUGUUAUUUGAUAGGAACAUUAAGAAUCUCUUAUACUUGAUUUUAUAGAGUAUCAUAAAUUCAAUGUUUGGAAUUUCCAUUUAAUUUCUAAUA
Molecule: RNA transcript, 3538 nt
Organism: Ipomoea nil (Japanese morning glory)
Lineage: Eukaryota; Viridiplantae; Streptophyta; Magnoliopsida; Solanales; Convolvulaceae
Exons: 8
Source: RefSeq, a predicted model, not a curated record